GAUCAUGGCUCAGGAUGAACGCUAGCGACAGGCUUAACACAUGCAAGUCGAGGGGCAUCAUGAGGUAGCAAUACCUUGAUGGCGACCGGCGCACGGGUGAGUAACGCGUAUGCAACCUGCCCGAUACCGGGGUAUAGCCCAUGGAAACGUGGAUUAAUACCGGAUAGUAUCGAGAGAUUGCAUGAUAACCCGAUUAAAGAUUUAUCGGUAACGGAUGGGGAUGCGUUCCAUUAGA
RNAcentral lists this ribosomal RNA (235 nucleotides) under uncultured bacterium. Its description in RNAcentral is "partial 16S ribosomal RNA". It matches the Rfam family "Bacterial small subunit ribosomal RNA", at positions 15 to 245 of the family's 1533-position model. The record is from RNAcentral.